RNAcentral lists this ribosomal RNA (253 nucleotides) under uncultured bacterium. RNAcentral's name for it is "partial 16S ribosomal RNA". It matches the Rfam family "Bacterial small subunit ribosomal RNA", at positions 524 to 776 of the family's 1533-position model. The record is from RNAcentral.
GACGAACCGUGCAAACGUUGUUCGGAAUCACUGGGCUUAAAGGGCGCGUAGGCGGGCAAGCAAGUCGAAGGUGAAAUCCCACGGCUCAACCGUGGAAGUGCCCCCGAUACUGCUUGUCUUGAGGGAGAUAGGGGCGUGCGGAACUUCCGGUGGAGCGGUGAAAUGCGUAGAUAUCGGAAGGAACACCGGUGGCGAAAGCGGCGCGCUGGAUCUCUUCUGACGCUGAGGCGCGAAAGCGUGGGGAGCAAACAGG